This 1168-nucleotide ribosomal RNA is filed under the name uncultured Bacteroides sp. Its description in RNAcentral is "bacterial SSU rRNA". It matches the Rfam family "Bacterial small subunit ribosomal RNA", at positions 14 to 1176 of the family's 1533-position model. The record is from RNAcentral. Lineage: Bacteria; Pseudomonadati; Bacteroidota; Bacteroidia; Bacteroidales; Bacteroidaceae.
UGAUCCUGGCUCAGGAUGAACGCUAGCUACAGGCUUAACACAUGCAAGUCGAGGGGCAGCAUUUUAGUUUGCUUGCAAACUGAAGAUGGCGACCGGCGCACGGGUGAGUAACACGUAUCCAACCUACCGAUAACUCCGGAAUAGCCUUUCGAAAGAAAGAUUAAUACCGGAUAGCAUACGAAUAUCGCAUGAUAUUUUUAUUAAAGAAUUUCGGUUAUCGAUGGGGAUGCGUUCCAUUAGUUUGUUGGCGGGGUAACGGCCCACCAAGACUACGAUGGAUAGGGGUUCUGAGAGGAAGGUCCCCCACAUUGGAACUGAGACACGGUCCAAACUCCUACGGGAGGCAGCAGUGAGGAAUAUUGGUCAAUGGGCGAGAGCCUGAACCAGCCAAGUAGCGUGAAGGAUGAAGGCUCUAUGGGUCGUAAACUUCUUUUAUAUGGGAAUAAAGUUUUCCACGUGUGGAAUUUUGUAUGUACCAUAUGAAUAAGGAUCGGCUAACUCCGUGCCAGCAGCCGCGGUAAUACGGAGGAUCCGAGCGUUAUCCGGAUUUAUUGGGUUUAAAGGGAGCGUAGGUGGAUAGUUAAGUCAGUUGUGAAAGUUUGCGGCUCAACCGUAAAAUUGCAGUUGAAACUGGCAGUCUUGAGUACAGUAGAGGUGGGCGGAAUUCGUGGUGUAGCGGUGAAAUGCUUAGAUAUCACGAAGAACUCCGAUUGCGAAGGCAGCUCACUAGACUGUCACUGACACUGAUGCUCGAAAGUGUGGGUAUCAAACAGGAUUAGAUACCCUGGUAGUCCACACAGUAAACGAUGAAUACUCGCUGUUUGCGAUAUACAGUAAGCGGCCAAGCGAAAGCAUUAAGUAUUCCACCUGGGGAGUACGCCGGCAACGGUGAAACUCAAAGGAAUUGACGGGGGCCCGCACAAGCGGAGGAACAUGUGGUUUAAUUCGAUGAUACGCGAGGAACCUUACCCGGGCUUAAAUUGCAACAGAAUAUAUUGGAAACAGUAUAGCCGUAAGGCUGUUGUGAAGGUGCUGCAUGGUUGUCGUCAGCUCGUGCCGUGAGGUGUCGGCUUAAGUGCCAUAACGAGCGCAACCCUUAUCUUUAGUUACUAACAGGUUAUGCUGAGGACUCUAGAGAGACUGCCGUCGUAAGAUGUGAGGAAGGUGG